UUGGUGCAAAAGUAAUUGCGGUUUUUGCCAUUGACCAUAAUGGCAAAAACAACAGUUACUUUUGCACCAA
Molecule: microRNA precursor, 70 nt
Organism: Gorilla gorilla gorilla (western lowland gorilla)
Lineage: Eukaryota; Metazoa; Chordata; Mammalia; Primates; Hominidae
Source: Ensembl